Pan troglodytes (chimpanzee) is the source of this 4980-nucleotide long non-coding RNA. RefSeq lists it as uncharacterized. The record is from RefSeq and is a predicted model, not a curated record. NCBI's taxonomy places the organism in Eukaryota, Metazoa, Chordata, Mammalia, Primates, Hominidae. The transcript is spliced from 6 exons.
UUCCGGAGACAUUGGGAGAUUGAGCACUCCUUCAGAACGAUUCUACGGGGAAAACACAAAACAAAACAAAAAACAGUGGCCAGAGACUUGAGCAGGAUGUGUGAAGGGAUUUAAUAAUGGAACUUGUGGAAACAGUAGACUUCAGAGACCAGACUGGCGGCUUGAAGAAAGCUAUUUUCUCGUACCAAAUACAUUCCAUUUCCUAAGAUUAAUGAUUGUGCAUCAGGCUGAAAGAGCUUCCCGUUUUUCUUCUGGGGAUGGAUUUAGACGAACCAGAAGAAAGAAAAACGUAACUUCCCAACUCAUCAGGCAAUGUGUCUAAAUGGAGCAGAGAUAUCCUAAUUUUAUUAAAGAUGAGAAAACUGACGGUCAGAAGAUUGCUCAGUGCCAUACAGUUAAUGAGAGAUGAGUUAAGAUUCCAACACAGACGUUUCUUUUUCAGAAACAUGAGAUGUUAACCCUUAAGUCAGUGUUAUCAGAAUGUGAAUCCUGACCAGGAACAUCAACAUCACCUGGAAACUUGUUAGAAAUGCAGAUUCUCCAGACCUACUGGAUGGAAUGUCAGUAUUGCAACUGUGAUGCCUUUAUAUCAUGUGAGAAGAACAAUAGAGUCCUGGGAGGCAAGUGCAGAUGACCCCAAGGUCCUUGUGGACAAGGAAGUAAAAGCUAAGAAGAAAUGGCACGUUUCUUAGGAAACAUUUCAAUAUUGUUAUUUAUACAAGGAUGCAGAGAACAGUACAGCUGGAGAAUUAAAUGGAGAGAUCAGCGCACAGAUGGGUUGUCAUCACAGUGAAAACAGAAAAUUAAAAGAUGUCUCAUAGAGAACCCAUGGGCCGAAGACCAUCUUGAGACUUGCAGAGUGGCAAAUCACUAGAGGGCAAACGUCGCACUGCCUUAGAAAUGGAGUUGGUAUUGGUGAAUUCAAGAAGAGGACCAGAAGGAGGAGGAAGAGGGAAGAUUUUAAUGCUGUGCAGUGGUGCUCAGGUCUAGGUCAAGAACAAUGAGUCUCAUAUGAUUGUCUCUUGACUUUGACUAUCACGGUAGGACUUUACUGACAAGCCGGGUAAUAACAGGGAAAUCCUAUUCCUUUUGCCUUCAAAAUUUAUUUUGUCUUUAUUUCACUUGACCUGGUUCAUUUCCUCUAUAGUUUCUUAUUUCAGCAAUAUUUAUUGAACACUAUCAUGAUUAAUCAGGCACACCAGGUGCUGGUGACAAGAACAGUGAACAAAACGGACAAAAAUUCUUGUAAUCAUGGAGCAUGUAUUAUAGUAUGGAGAUAAAAAAUAAGCGAAAUAAGCUAACACAUACAGUAUGCUGCAAGCUGUAUGCUGUUGUAUGUUGUGGAGAAAAUAAAGCAGGGAAAAAGGAGUCAGAGAAUGGUGGAGGGGGUUGCAGUCAGACUACCUGCUUAGCUGCGUCCUGCACAAGGAUAUUUGGGCAGAGAUAAGCAUGAGCUGACAUCCAGCCAUCUUCUGGUGAGAAGGUGCCUUUUUCUGAGUAAUGACAGGGCUCCAGAAGCCUCAGGUAGUGAUCAAAAUGUUAAUCUCUGCCUUUAAACGGGACACUCUUCAAAAUGUCCUUCUGGCAAUAUUGAGUUCUUAAGCUUUUGAAUGCAUUGGAUAUAAGCUUUUGCCAAGGUUUUAAAAUUUUAUGCUAUAACUUUAAACCUUUUUGUAGAUGAGAAAAUCACAUAUUAUAGAAUUAAAAUCUUAUUCAAGUCUAACAACAUUCCAUCAGUUGUAUUUACUUUGUCUAUAUAGCCUGCUAGACUCUUACAGCAGAGUAGCAAAUGGGUUGAUGAGAUUCUCUUCAGAGAAUCAGAGUCAGGCUGAGCAUUCUUCCAUACGUGGCACUGUUGGUGUUUUUGGACUGAUUAUGUGAAGAGUAAACCCAGCAUCUUCUUGGGACUCCAAGGAAAGUUGCAUAUUCUAUAAUUUAUAGGGCCAUCACAAUUUUUCUAAUUAAAAACAAAUAUAACUUCUGCCCUUUUCAACCACAGCACAUAUGUUUUGUCUCCCAGUGUUCCCUAGUAAGAGAUAAUGGCCUGGCAGUGUAGACUCAUUUCUUGAGUAUUUUAAUUUGGAAGCCAAUUAGCCCUCCCUAUCUAAAGCACAUUUUGACAUUUUCUUCCCAAGACAAGCCAGUCUUGACUUUCUGCCCCUCUCUUGGUACAGACAGUGCAUGUUACAUGUAUUAAAUUACAAUUAUUUUAAUAAAAAAUUAAGAUUAAAAUUUGAAAACAUAGUCUGCUUAGAGAUACCAAGUUGUGGAGUGUGCUAUGUAAAAUGAGGACAAAAUUUUCACUGAACAUCUUCUUUCCCUUGAUAUCACUGAUCAAUUUUUUUUUUUUUUGAGACAGAGUCUCACUUUGUCAUCCAAGCUGGAGUUUAGUGGCACAAUCUCAGCUCACUGCAACCUUCGCUUUCUGGGUUCAAGCAAUCCUCCUGCCUCAGCCUCCCAAGGAGCUGGGAUUAUAAGUGUGUGUCACCACGCCUGGCUAUUUGUUUUGUAUUUAUUUAUUUAUUUUAUUUUAUGUAUUUAUUUAUUUUUUAUUAGUUUUUGAGACAGAGUUUCACUCUCGUCACCCAGGCUGGAGUGCAAUGGCACGAUCUUGGCUCACUGUAAUCUCCACCUCCUGGGUUCAAACAAUUCUCCUGCCUUAGCCUCCUGAGUAGCUGGGACUACAGGUGUGCGCCACUGUGCCCAGCCAAUUUUUUUGUAUUUUUAGUAGAGACGGGGUUUUGCCACUUUAGCCAGGAUGGUCUUGAACUCCUGACCUCAGGUGAUCUGCCCGCCUUGGCCUCCCAAAGUGCUGUGAUUAUAGGCAUGAAUCACCGUGCCUAGCCUGUAUUUUUGGUAGAGAUGGGGUUUAACCAUGUUGGCCAGGCUGGUCUCAAACUCCUGACCUCAAGUGACCUGCCCCCCUCUGCCUCCCAAAGUGUUGGGAUUACAGGCGUGAGCCACUGCGCCUGGCCAAUAUUUGAUUCCUACCUUUUAUUUCCCUUGUAAUUUCUGUUUUGCUUUGAUCACCUGAUUUUGUCCUAUAAGUUUCCGUACUCUCUUUUAGUGAGGAUGAGACUACGGGGUUAGCCUCAGAAUUACAGAAAAACUCAAUUUAGAAUUGUUAAAGGAGAAGAUAGAAAAGGACACUAGCUUGUGUGGAUGAAGAGGGUUAGUCAUUCUAACCAUUCUGGAGUGGAUGACAGUUAAAUGUUAAUCAGAAUUAUUGAGUCUCAGUGUCUUUUUUCUAUUUGUGCUAUUUCUCUCUUCCCUUGUUUCUCUUCACCAUCUUGUUGAGCAUUCCCCAUGGCUUUUCUUGGGUAAAAGCCAGACAACCAGGUACUGCAAGAGCACCGAACCCCUCCCUUGAUUCUACCCUUCAUUUUGCCUCUAGAUUUCACUCCCCUAUAUCUAUCUCCAUUACAUUUUCUUUGUAUCUACUAACUAAGGGAUACAGAUGUUCUUCCAAUACAGAGUGUGAUUGCAGCACAAUUACAAUUGAAACAAAAAGGAGAAGCUAACUUUGCUGAAAAUAUGCCAUAUUCAUUCUGAAUUCCUUUAAACUGUAGCACAUAUGCUUAUAUUCGUGGCAAUACGAAUUUGUAAGAAAAGGAAGAGAAAAAAGAUCUGCCUUCCUUCCCUGCAAAAUGGCAUCACACAUGACGAUCAGAGACUGAAUGUACAAAUGAAAAAUGGUUGGACCAUAUAAAAAAAAAAUAGAACUCUGAAUUAUGCUGCAACCUGCUUAGGAAACUAACUUCUUUAUCUACAAUAAGUAGUUCAGGACGCCAGCCUGCUAUAAGUUGCGGGGACCCACUUGAAACACGAGAGUUGAUAUGAAGAUUAUUUUAAACUGAAGAUAUCUGAGAUUCAACAGAUGCAAGGGAUAGCAUCCUUGGAGCUUGUCUUAUCUGACUAACAGCAGCAACUUCUGAAAAAUGAGGCUACAUAAAUCCCCUCUCCUGGGGAGUUUCAUGGCCAUGAAGAAGAUGGAAAGACCACCCACACCUGCAUAAACAAACAUUAUAGCAAAUUUUCUUAACUCCUGUUUGUUCUUCUAAAAACUCAUUUGUUUUUCCUAAAGAAACCUAUUUGUUCUAUGAGAGCCAUUUCUGCCCUCUCCCCUUUCUCUACUAAAUUAGCUAUAUGAACCUCUAACUUCGGUGAGCAAACUACUUCUUUGUUGUAUGUGAAGAAAACUUUUUUUUCCUUUUUAAUCUUUCUUUCGUCAGUAUAGGCCCCAGGUACUGAAGAUAAGAAUAUAGAGAAGUUUUUCUUCUGACAGACUUGCUGGAAGCCAGGUUGCUAUCGCUGGUAACAAUCCAGGAAGCUAACGGAUAACUUCUGUAACAACUGGACCCACACGGCCAGGACUUGAUUAAUGACUGACAUCUACCCGAAUUUUUGUGCCUACAUCCAAUUUAAGACCAAACAGAGAAAACGAAACACGCACCCCUAACCGAUCAUGCAGAAUGCCCCUACUUCUGUUUAGCCCGCCUACAGCUUCCCCAUGGCAACAGCCUCCAAUCGGGAUACACCUGAACCCUUCCCUCCCCACGCACUGCCCUGCUAUAAAGCUUUCUCAUUUCUCUGCCUUUGAAUCACUGCCAAAACACAGCGACAGUAGCUACCUCCCUUGCUGUAUAACAGGCUGUGAAAAAAUAGCACUUGCAUUUCUCAUUUGAUUGGUCGUCAUUUAUUUCUAUAACCAUGUGUUUCAUUCAUGCAAUUCAGAAGUUUCUUUGGAAUAACUUGCAGAGUAAACUAAAAAAUAUUUAUUUGCUAUGAUACUUUAUAUAUAUUUUCUGCUUAUUUAAGUUCCCUAUUGAGGUUUUGAAAUUCUCCCUGAUGCUGGUAGUAUAAAAAUCUUAUUUGAAGCAAAUCAAUUAAUCCUGAAGAUGACUGAAAGAUCAACAUGAGAUAGCUGCAGAUAAACCAACCAUUCUCUAAGCUCUAGGACACCUUCAAACAGCACAUUCU